Molecule: ribosomal RNA, 449 nt
Filed under: uncultured bacterium
Lineage: Bacteria
Description: partial 16S ribosomal RNA
Rfam family: Bacterial small subunit ribosomal RNA
Source: RNAcentral
AAUGAACGCUGGCGGCAGGCCUAACACAUGCAAGUCGAACGAGGCAGCAAUGCCUAGUGGCGGACGGGUGAGUAACGCGUGGGAACGUGCCCCUUGGUACGGAAUAGCCCUGGGAAACUGGGAGUAAUACCGUAUGUGGUCGAGAGACGAAAGAUUUAUCGCCAAGGGAUCGGCCCGCGUUGGAUUAGGUAGUUGGUGGGGUAAUGGCCUCCCAAGCCGACGAUCCACAGCUGGUUUGAGAGGAUGAUCAGCCACACUGGGACUGAGACACGGCCCAGACUCCUACGGGAGGCAGCAGUGGGGAAUCUUAGACAAUGGGGGAAACCCUGAUCUAGCCAUGCCGCGUGAUCGAUGAAGGCCUUAGGGUUGUAAAGAUCUUUCAGUGGGGAAGAUAAUGACGGUACCCACAGAAGAAGCCCCGGCUAACUCCGUGCCAGCAGCCGCCGUAA